AGUAAAUAGAUACCCGGGUAGUCCGCGCCGUAAACGAUGAAUACUAGGUGUAGGAGGUAUCGACUCCUUCUGUGCCGCAGUUAAACACAAUAAGUAUUCCGCCUGGGGAGUACGGUCGCAAGAUUAAAACUCAAAGGAAUUGACGGGGGCCCGCACAAGCAGCGGAGCAUGUGGUUUAAAUUCGAAGCAACGCGAAGAACCUUACCUAGACUUGACAUCUUCUGCAUUAAUCGUAAUGGAUGAAAUCCCUUCGGGGACAGAAUGACAGGUGGUGCAUGGUUGUCGUCAGCUCGUGUCGUGAGAUGUUGGGUUAAGUCCCGCAACGAGCGCAACCCCAUUAUUAGUUGCUAACAUUAAGUUGAGCACUCUAGUGAGACUGCCCGGGUUAACCGGGAGGAAGGUGGGGAUGACGUCAAAUCAUCAUGCCCCUUAUGUCUAGGGCUACACACGUGCUACAAUGGUGGGAACAAAGAGAUGCAAUACCGCGAGGUGGAGCUAAACUACAAAA
Molecule: ribosomal RNA, 508 nt
Filed under: uncultured bacterium
Lineage: Bacteria
Description: bacterial SSU rRNA
Rfam family: Bacterial small subunit ribosomal RNA
Source: RNAcentral